This 253-nucleotide ribosomal RNA is filed under the name uncultured bacterium. RNAcentral describes it as "partial 16S ribosomal RNA". It matches the Rfam family "Bacterial small subunit ribosomal RNA", at positions 524 to 776 of the family's 1533-position model. The record is from RNAcentral.
UACGUAGGGUGCAGGCGUUAUUCGGAAUUACUGGGCGUAAAGCGUGCGCAGGCGGCUUCCUAAGUCAGAUGUGAAAUCCCCGGGCUCAACCUGGGAACUGCGUUUGAAACUGGGAGGCUAGAGUGCGGCAGAGGGGGGUGGAAUUCCACGUGUAGCAGUGAAAUGCGUAGAUAUGUGGAGGAACACCGAUGGCGAAGGCAGCCCCCUGGGCCAGCACUGACGCUCAUGCACGAAAGCGUGGGGAGCAAACAGG